RNAcentral lists this long non-coding RNA (295 nucleotides) under Mytilus galloprovincialis (Mediterranean mussel). The record is from RNAcentral. Lineage: Eukaryota; Metazoa; Mollusca; Bivalvia; Mytilida; Mytilidae.
GUUUUGGCAAAAGGCUAGGGAGGAAAAUAUAUAUGCACCUAUAUCCGUUCUAGGAAUGGAGACAUUAAUUCUAAGCUGCGUGUAUAGAUAGUCAACAAAUAUGUGUGGGUCCUCUCUAGGUUGUUUUGAAUGAAUAACUUCACUUGGCCUAACCAACAAAACAUUUCCCGUGGUACUUUAAAUACGAAGGUUGAAUAGAUCGGAAUUUGACAUAGUUAGUGCAAUGAUUGUAGAAUGAAAAUUGAUGUAUAUAGUUAUCAAAGGUACCAGGAUUAUAAUUUAAUACGCCAGACGC